This 452-nucleotide ribosomal RNA is filed under the name uncultured bacterium. RNAcentral describes it as "bacterial SSU rRNA". It matches the Rfam family "Bacterial small subunit ribosomal RNA", at positions 29 to 524 of the family's 1533-position model. The record is from RNAcentral.
AGCGAACGCUGGCGGCAGGCUUAACACAUGCAAGUCGAACGGACCCUUCGGGGUUAGUGGCGGACGGGUGAGUAACACGUGGGAAUGUGCCUUUAGGUUCGGAACAACACAGGGAAACUUGUGCUAAUACCGAAUGUGCCCUUCGGGGAAAGGAUUUAUUGCCUUUAGAGCAGCCCGCGUCUGAUUAGCUUGUUGGUGAGGUAAAGGACUCACCAAGGCGACGAUCAGUAGCUGGUCUGAGAGGAUGGCCAGCCACAUUGGGACUGAGACACGGCCCAAACUCCUACGGGAGGCAGCAGUGGGGAAUUUUCCACAAUGGGGGCGAACCCUGAUGGAGCAACGCCGCGUGCAGGAUGAAGGCCUUAGGGUUGUAAACUGCUUUUAUGUGUGACGAUUAUGACGGUAACAUAUGAAUAAGGAUCGGCUAACUCCGUGCCAGCAGCCGCCGUAAC